AACUUUUGACAACGGAUCUCUUGGCUCUCGCAACGAUGAAGAACGCAGCGAAAUGCGAUAAGUAAUGUGAAUUGCAGAAUUCAGUGAAUCAUCGAAUCUUUGAACGCACAUUGCGCUCCCUGGUAUUCCGGAGAGCAUGCCUGUUUGAGAAUCAGUAAAUUCAUCAACCCAAGGUUCUUGGAACUUAUUCUGAGAGCUAAAAGGUUGGAUCUGGGCCAUUUGCUGCUUAGGCAGCAAUAGCCUGAAAUUGAAUGUUACGCUCCUGUGGACUGAGAAGUCUUGGGCAAACGCAUGAAUGAGGUAACUCAGAAGUACGUGAGCCUUUGAGAACGAUCAAUCCUUAGUUGGGUAACUCAACUGAUUAACCAGAGUUUGUUGGCAUUAGCCGGCUUAUUCUGAACACUUGGUCUCAAAUCAGGUAGGAAAACCCGCUGAACUUAAGCAUAUCAAUAAGCGGAGGAAAAGAAACUAACAAGGAUUCCCCUAGUAACGGCGAGUGAAGCGGGAACAGCUCAAAUUUGAAAUCUCACAGGGUUACCUGUGCGAAUUGUAGUUUAUAGAAACGUUUUCGGGGGUGGCCCUGGCAUAAGUCCUUUGGAAUGAGGCAUCAUAGAGGGUGAGAAUCCCGUUUAUGGUCAGGUGUCCGCUCCUAUGUGAUACGUUUUCUAAGAGUCGGUUUGUUUGGGAAUGCAGACCAAAAUGGGUGGUAAAUACCAUCUAAAGCUAAAUAUUGGCGAGAGACCGAUAGCGAACAAGUACCGUGAGGGAAAGAUGAAAAGAACUUUGAAAAGAGAGUUAAAAGUACGUGAAAUUGUCAAAAGGGAA
This 825-nucleotide unclassified non-coding RNA is filed under the name uncultured Rhizophlyctidales. RNAcentral's name for it is "sequence contains 5.8S rRNA gene, ITS2, 28S rRNA gene". The stretch from base 405 to 825 matches the Rfam family "Eukaryotic large subunit ribosomal RNA", at positions 1 to 418 of the family's 3401-position model. The record is from RNAcentral. Lineage: Eukaryota; Fungi; Chytridiomycota; Chytridiomycetes; Rhizophlyctidales.